This is an RNA transcript of Dendrobium catenatum, 1854 nucleotides long. It is a transcript of the gene named cell division protein FtsY homolog, chloroplastic, with no coding region annotated. Lineage: Eukaryota; Viridiplantae; Streptophyta; Magnoliopsida; Asparagales; Orchidaceae. The record is from RefSeq and is a predicted model, not a curated record. The transcript is spliced from 12 exons.
UUAUUGAUCAAACAUAACCCCGACUGCUAUCCAAAACCCAAGCUAGGGGACAAUGGCCGCUGUUCCUAUGCGGCUCGUCCCGCUGGUCUCCUCUCCUUCCUCUUCUCGUCCAGCUGUUCAACUUCCUCCUUCUGGCAUCACUGCCGACUUGAACCUAAGCCGAUCCUUCCGCGGCUCGGCCUCCCGAUUUCGGUGUUUCGCCGGACAGACCGACUUCUUUACGAGGCUUGGUCGUCUGAUAAGGGAAAAGGCUAAGAAUGACGUCGAGAAGAUAUUCUCCGGAUUUUCGAAGACCAGAGAGAAUCUUGCCGUCAUCGAUGAGCUGCUCCUUUACUGGAAUCUCGCCGACACCGAUCGCGUUUUAGACGAGCUCGAAGAGGCAUUGCUGGUAUCUGAUUUUGGGCCAAAGAUUUCCAUGAAGAUUGUCGACAGUCUCAGAGAUGAUAUCCUGGCUGGAAAACUCAAGUCGGGAAACGAAAUAAAGGAAGCGUUGAAGAAGAGCGUUCUUAAUCUUUUGACAGGAAAAGGUGGCAAGACAGAGCUCCAGCUAGGCUUUAGGAAGCCUGCUGUAAUCAUGGUUGUUGGAGUUAAUGGAGGGGGAAAGACUACCUCUCUAGGAAAGCUUGCUCGGAGGUUGAAGAAUGAAGGAGUAAAGGUACUGAUGGCUGCUGGUGAUACGUUUAGAGCAGCUGCUAGUGAACAGCUGGAAGUUUGGGCUGAGAGGACUGGAUCGGAGAUAGUCACGGCUGAGGGUGACAAGGUUAAAGCUCCGUUAGUUCUUUCACAGGCUGUCAAGAAGGGUAAGGAGCAAGGUUAUGGCGUUGUCCUGUGCGACACAUCUGGACGUCUGCACACCAAUUACAGUCUCAUGGAAGAGUUGGUAUCAUGCAAGAAAGCUGUAGCUAAAGUUAUUCCGGGUGCUCCUAAUGAGAUUUUGCUCGUUCUGGAUGGGACAACUGGUUUGAAUAUGCUACCACAGGCUAGAGAGUUUAAUGAAGUUGUUGGCGUUACUGGUUUAAUCCUGACUAAGCUUGAUGGUUCAGCUCGUGGUGGUUGUGUGAUUUUUGUGGAGAACUCUCGCUGUUUUCUGAAGAUUGAUAGGAAAUAAUUGGGAUAUAGAAGUGUUUCCUAUAGUUGAGCAGCACGGGAAGGAUAUGGUUAUUGUUGAGCUAUAGCAUGGUGAUGAGUAGGCACUCCUGAUUUUAUGGUUGGAGAACUCCAUUUUGUUGUGAUAGUGCUAAUUGUUGUCUCGCCACCUCUAAAAGUUGAAUAUUGGCUUGAAGUUCCUUCGUCCUGCAUAUGCAAUCCAUCAAAGUCAGCGUAGUUGAUGAGCUCGGAAUCCCCGUCAAAUUUAUCGGGGUUGGCGAAGGCGUUGAUGAUCUUCAACCAUUCGAUGCGGAGGCAUUUGUCAAUGCCAUCUUCUCAUGAGCGAGAGAAAACAAAACCAUCAGACUUGCAUUUCUGCCACCUGCAAUGUCAAUCUGUUUUUGAUUGCUGUCUGUUCUUCAUCAUAUCCAUUUCAUCCAACUGCAAUCUGGAUGUUCCUCAGGGCUUUGUGGAUCUGAGCGGGAUUAUUUUUGAAUGAAAUUCUGCUGGUCUGCUAAUGUUUAGUCUGCAAGUACGUACUUCCAUCUGCUUCAGUUCGCAGGAUCAGGACAUGCCUGUCUUGUAAGGGAUAUUAUUGUGUAUUAUGCAUUCAUUUUGUGUAUUUGAGGCAUACAUUUUACACUAAAUAUGCAUUUGUAAUGGAGCUCAGUUUGAUCUGUCGGUUGGGAGCUUUAGCUAUCAAUCAAAAGGCGUUGGGUCUGAGUCUGAUGUAUGUGAUGUGUGUGAGUUUAUCUUAAUUGAUCUAAA